This 253-nucleotide ribosomal RNA is filed under the name uncultured bacterium. Its description in RNAcentral is "partial 16S ribosomal RNA". It matches the Rfam family "Bacterial small subunit ribosomal RNA", at positions 524 to 776 of the family's 1533-position model. The record is from RNAcentral.
UACGGAGGGGGCAAGUGUUACUCAUCAUGACUAGGCGUAAAGGGUACUAAGAUAACUAAAGUUUGUAUUAAUAAAAAUAUCAGUUGAAUUAUUGAAAGGUAUUAAUAGACAAUUUCAGUUUGAGUUUUUUAGAGAAUUGAUUUACUGUUUUUUAAGGGGUAGAAUCCAACGAGAAGAUCAGGAGAAACAAUGGCGAAAGCAUCAAUUUACAUUUAACUAACAUUGAAGUACUAAAGCAUGGGGAGCAAACAGG